Molecule: ribosomal RNA, 468 nt
Filed under: uncultured bacterium
Lineage: Bacteria
Description: partial 16S ribosomal RNA
Rfam family: Bacterial small subunit ribosomal RNA
Source: RNAcentral
GACGAACGCUGGCGGCGUGCUUAACACAUGCAAGUCGAACGGAAAGGCCCUGCUUUUGUGGGGUGCUCGAGUGGCGAACGGGUGAGUAACACGUGAGUAACCUGCCCUUGACUUUGGGAUAACUUCAGGAAACUGGGGCUAAUACCGGAUAGGAGCUCCUGCUGCAUGGUGUGGGUUGGAAAGUUUCGGCGGUUGUGGAUGGACUCGCGGCUUAUCAGCUUGUUGGUGGGGUAGUGGCUUACCAAGGCUUUGACGGGUAGCCGGCCUGAGAGGGUGACCGGCCACAUGGGGACUGAGAUACGGCCCAGACUCCUACGGGAGGCAGCAGUGGGGAAUAUUGCACAAUGGGCGGAAGCCUGAUGCAGCAACGCCGCGUGCGGGAUGGCGGCCUUCGGGUUGUAAACCGAUUUCGCCUGUGACGAAGCGUGAGUGACGGUAAUGGGUAAAGAAGCACCGGCUAACUACGUG